RNAcentral lists this ribosomal RNA (253 nucleotides) under uncultured Eubacteriales bacterium. Its description in RNAcentral is "uncultured Clostridiales bacterium partial 16S ribosomal RNA". It matches the Rfam family "Bacterial small subunit ribosomal RNA", at positions 524 to 776 of the family's 1533-position model. The record is from RNAcentral. Lineage: Bacteria; Bacillati; Bacillota; Clostridia; Eubacteriales.
UACGUAGGUGGCGAGCGUUAUCCGGAAUGAUUGGGCGUAAAGGGUGCGCAGGCGGUCCUGCAAGUCUGAAGUGAAAGGCGGGGGCCCAACCCCCGGACCGCUUUGGAAACUGUAUAGCUGGAGUGCAGGAGAGGUAAGUGGAAUUCCUAGUGUAGCGGUGAAAUGCGUAGAUAUUAGGAGGAACACCAGUGGCGAAGGCGGCUUACUGGACUGUAACUGACGUUGAGGCUCGAAGGCGUGGGGAGCAAACAGG